This 29-nucleotide non-coding RNA is filed under the name Mus musculus (house mouse). Lineage: Eukaryota; Metazoa; Chordata; Mammalia; Rodentia; Muridae. The record is from RNAcentral.
UGAUUGAGAAAGUGCAAGAAGCACGAGGG